RNAcentral lists this ribosomal RNA (448 nucleotides) under uncultured bacterium. RNAcentral describes it as "SSU rRNA". It matches the Rfam family "Bacterial small subunit ribosomal RNA", at positions 26 to 518 of the family's 1533-position model. The record is from RNAcentral.
AGAACGAACGCUGGCGGCAGGCUUAACACAUGCAAGUCGAACGGAUGUAGCAAUACAUUAGUGGCGCACGGGUGAGUAACGCGUGGGAACGUGCCUUUUAGUUUGGGAUAACAGUUGGAAACGACUGCUAAUACCGGAUACGCCCUUCGGGGGAAAGAUUUAUCGCUAAAAGAUCGGCCCGCGUAAGAUUAGGUAGUUGGUGGGGUAAUGGCCUACCAAGCCUACGAUCUUUAGCUGGUCUGAGAGGAUGAUCAGCCACACUGGAACUGAGACACGGUCCAGACUCCUACGGGAGGCAGCAGUGGGGAAUAUUGGACAAUGGGCGAAAGCCUGAUCCAGCCAUGCCGCGUGAGUGAUGAAGGCCUUAGGGUUGUAAAGUCUCUUUUGUCAGGGAAGAUAAUGACGGUACCUGAAGAUAAGCACCGGCUAACUUCGCGCCAGCAGCCGC